GGAGACUAAGAGUGAAUGAUUCUUCAUGCGGAUGAUUCCAAAGCUGGCAACCUAAAGAAAAGCCCAACUACAGUGAAGAACUGAAGUCGAUCCUGAACUUAGAGAAUCAUCAACCAACUUCCCAAGAUCAUGGGACAUUUAGAACUCAAAGACAUACCAUGGACCCUGGGAUGGUUUACAACUUCUCUCUGUGUGUGCAUGCUUCCCAGGGAGUCUCUAGCUUCCAGCACCUUCUAAGUGGUUUUCAUUGUUGCUCUUGUUUUUCUGUGAGUUGAUUUUUUUUUUAUGUGAAUGAGCAUUUUGCCUACAAGUGUGUACGUGCACCACGGGCAUGCGUGGUGCCAACAGAGGUCAGAAGAAGGCCUCAGAUCCCUAAGAACUGGAGUUACAGAUGGUUGUGGGCCACUGUGUGGGUGCUAGGAACCAAACUGGGGUCCUCUCCAAGAGUAGCAAAUGCUAGAACCGCCUCCAGUUCCCCUUCUAAGUGUUUUUCACAGUUGUGUUCUGGGGUGCAACUCACUCCUGCUGAAGGUGCUUUAGCUCCCAGUGCUGUGUAUCAUCAGCUGCUGAGCCCUAAGGAAGAGGAAACAGCAGAGAUUCACUUCCUUACAGUGCUAGAGGCUGCAAGCCCAAGUCUAACACGUCAUUAAGUUUCUCCUGAGGGCCGGGCGAUGGUAGCGCACGCCUUUAAUCCCAGCACU
Alexandromys fortis (reed vole) is the source of this 701-nucleotide long non-coding RNA. RefSeq lists it as uncharacterized. NCBI's taxonomy places the organism in Eukaryota, Metazoa, Chordata, Mammalia, Rodentia, Cricetidae. The transcript is spliced from 3 exons. The record is from RefSeq and is a predicted model, not a curated record.